UCUCUCUCUCUCUCUCUCUCUCUCUCUCUCUCCUUUUUAUUUAAACAGUUCUGCUUUAAUUUGCUCUGUACUUUUGCUUUAAAACUUCUCUCUCUCUCUCUCUCUCUCUCUCUCUCUUUAAUUUGUUUUCUACUUCUUCUGCAAGGUAAUUUCUCUCACAGCUAUGCUCAUAUAUCAGGAAGAAGUGGCAGAUUUUUCAACAAGACAUAGUCAAAUGGCCUUCUUCAUAAAAAAAAUCAACAAGACAUAGUCGAAUGGCCUUCUUCAUAAAAAAAAUCAUACACAGAAGGAAUACCUCCUUAGUCCUCUCAUGACUCACUAAAUGACCACCAUGCAGAUCUAUCAUCCUAGCAACUGGCUGCAGCUUCUCUGCAAGUCUCUUGGCGUAGUAUAUUUGAGCAAUGAUAUCAUGCCUACAUUCAAAGAACCUCAAAUUAAUCUUAAGCAGUAUAACUGUUUGCAGGGAAUCUAUACUACCUGCCAUGUAUCACAGAUACAAGAAAUCCAGCAGAGCGGAUAACUUCAAUUUCCAUUUGUGUCAUCUUAUGUGUCCAACAAGCAUUGAUUUGACCUUCAAACCCAUAGUUAGACUGCAUCCCAGUUGAUGAUAUGCCUUUUACAUAUUCCUGCAAUAUAACCAGGGACAUCUUUAUGCAUAAUGCAAUACUAUGAAAUGCGUAACUAAACUACAAGUUGCAAUGUAAAGUAAUUAAUCAAGUAUCUCAUAUAACCA
Hevea brasiliensis (rubber tree) is the source of this 733-nucleotide long non-coding RNA. RefSeq lists it as uncharacterized. NCBI's taxonomy places the organism in Eukaryota, Viridiplantae, Streptophyta, Magnoliopsida, Malpighiales, Euphorbiaceae. The transcript is spliced from 3 exons. The record is from RefSeq and is a predicted model, not a curated record.